RNAcentral lists this transfer RNA (89 nucleotides) under Felis catus (domestic cat). It matches the Rfam family "tRNA". Rfam says of the family: Transfer RNA (tRNA) molecules are approximately 80 nucleotides in length. Their secondary structure includes four short double-helical elements and three loops (D, anti-codon, and T loops). Lineage: Eukaryota; Metazoa; Chordata; Mammalia; Carnivora; Felidae. The record is from Rfam by way of RNAcentral.
GCCUGGGUGGCUCAGUCGGUUGAGCGUCCGACUUCGGCUCAGGUCAUGCAUGAUCUUGCAGUCCGUGGGUUCAAGCCCCGCAUCGGGCU